RNAcentral lists this unclassified non-coding RNA (250 nucleotides) under plant metagenome. RNAcentral describes it as "partial contains small subunit ribosomal RNA, internal transcribed spacer 1, and 5.8S ribosomal RNA". The stretch from base 197 to 250 matches the Rfam family "5.8S ribosomal RNA", at positions 1 to 55 of the family's 154-position model. The record is from RNAcentral.
GUAGGUGAACCUGCGGAAGGAUCAUUACCAAAUCCAAAACUUUAUCAACCCCUAAUGUGCACUGAGAAUGGUUCCGUUCCCUGCCUCUUGGGGCCUGCUCCGGCAGGUGGGGAAUGUAUUUUUUACAAUAAAACACCUUUUCAACCAUUUUUAACCACGUUUAUGCUGAAAGCAAAACAAAAACGAAACAUGAGACAACUUUUAACGGUGGAUCUCUUGGCUCGUGCAUCGAUGAAGAACGCAGCAUCUG